GGUCAAGUUAGUAAGGGCAUACGGUGGAUGCCUUGGCGCUAGGAGUCGAUGAAGGACGUGGCAAGCUGCGAUAAGCUUCGGGGAGGUGCAAGCAACCUUCGAUCCGGAGAUUUCCGAAUGGGGGAACCCGGCUGGGGUAAUGCCCAGUCACUCCUGCCUGAAUACAUAGGGCAGGUAGAGACAACCCAGGGAACUGAAACAUCUAAGUACCUGGAGGAAAAGAAAGUAAUAACGAUUCCCUUAGUAGCGGCGAGCGAACGGGGAACAGCCCAAACCGUCUAGGUGUUAAAGCGGCAGGCGUUGCUUAGGCGGGGUUGUAGGAGUCACCAGGCUGUGCUGCCCACAGUCGGAGAGUUACAAAACUCAUUGCUAGUCGAAUGAUUCUGGGAAGAACAGCCACAGAAGGUAAAAGCCCUGUAGGCGAAAGCAGUGGGACUCUCGGUGACCACCUGAGUACUGCGGGACACGGGAAAUCCUGUGGGAAGUUACGAAGACCACUUCGUAAGGCUAAAUACUCCCUAGCGACCGAUAGUGGACUAGUACCGUGAGGGAAAGGUGAAAAGCACCCCGGGAGGGGAGUGAAAUAGCACCUGAAACCGUAUGCUUACAAGCAGUCGGAGGAAGACUUAGUCUUCUGACGGCGUGCCUUUUGUAGAAUGAUCCUGCGAGUUAUGGUAUGUAGCGAGGUUAAGCUUAAAGCGUAG
This 704-nucleotide ribosomal RNA is filed under the name Bacillota bacterium. RNAcentral's name for it is "partial 23S ribosomal RNA". It matches the Rfam family "Bacterial large subunit ribosomal RNA", at positions 1 to 665 of the family's 2925-position model. The record is from RNAcentral. Lineage: Bacteria; Bacillati; Bacillota.